RNAcentral lists this ribosomal RNA (253 nucleotides) under uncultured bacterium. RNAcentral describes it as "partial 16S ribosomal RNA". It matches the Rfam family "Bacterial small subunit ribosomal RNA", at positions 524 to 776 of the family's 1533-position model. The record is from RNAcentral.
UACAGAGGUCUCAAGCGUUGUUCGGAUUCAUUGGGCGUAAAGGGUGCGUAGGUGGCGCUGUAAGUCGGGUGUGAAAUUUCGGAGCUUAACUCCGAAACUGCAUUCGAUACUGCGGUGCUUGAGGACUGGAGAGGAGACUGGAAUUCAUGGUGUAGCAGUGAAAUGCGUAGAGAUCAUGAGGAAGAUCAGUGGCGAAGGCGGGUCUCUGGACAGUUCCUGACACUGAGGCACGAAGGCCAGGGGAGCAAACGGG